RNAcentral lists this ribosomal RNA (612 nucleotides) under Triticum aestivum (bread wheat). RNAcentral describes it as "partial small subunit ribosomal RNA". Lineage: Eukaryota; Viridiplantae; Streptophyta; Magnoliopsida; Poales; Poaceae. The record is from RNAcentral.
AUGUCAUUUGGACUGACUAACGCACCAGCUUAUUUCAUGAACCUGAUGAACAAAGUGUUUAUGGAGUUUUUGGAUAAGUUCGUCGUGGUGUUCAUAGAUGACAUUUUGAUUUUCUCGAAGAAUGAAGAGGAACACAAGGAACAAUUGCGAUUGGUUUUGGAGAAGCUAAGAGAAGAUCAGUUAUACGCCAAGUUCAGCAAAUGUGAGUUUUGGCUAAAGGAAGUUGGAUUUCUCGGACAUGUUAUAUCCGGAGAAGGAAUAGCAGUUGACCCCAAAAAGGUUGAGACCGUAACUAAUUGGGAAGCACCAACGACAGUUGGAGAGAUUCGGAGUUUUCUUGGACUCGCAGGAUACUACCGAAGAUUCAUUGAGAAUUUCUCAAGGAUUGCUAAGCCUAUGACUGAAUUGUUGAAGAAGGAUAACAAAUUCAUAUGGACUGAGGACUGUGAGGCAAGUUUUCAGGAGUUGAAGAAAAGAUUGGUUACCUCACCAGUUUUGAUAUUGCCAGAUCAGACAAAGGAUUAUGAGGUGUAUUGCGACGCUUCACGACGAGGACUUGGAGCAGUGCUUAUGCAGGAAGGAAGAGUUGUUUCGUAUGCUUCACGACAACUU